AGGUUUAUACGGUCUAGAUAAAAACUCACCAAAUCAUAUAUAUGAAAGUUGGUCAACUCUCUCCAUAAGAUUGCUACAUCAUCACUUUAACAUUUGUCAUAUGUUUAUUAAUUAAUUAAUGUAAGCUUUUCAACUUCUAAUUUAUAUGUUAAUGAUA
RNAcentral lists this small RNA (157 nucleotides) under Arabidopsis thaliana (thale cress). RNAcentral describes it as "ATSL152790". The record is from RNAcentral. Lineage: Eukaryota; Viridiplantae; Streptophyta; Magnoliopsida; Brassicales; Brassicaceae.